This 199-nucleotide long non-coding RNA is filed under the name Carica papaya (papaya). RNAcentral's name for it is "long non-coding RNA (CPAP_LNC000745)". The record is from RNAcentral. Lineage: Eukaryota; Viridiplantae; Streptophyta; Magnoliopsida; Brassicales; Caricaceae.
CAGAUUAUGAGUGCAUGAUAAAAAUUGUAUGCAAUGGAGCAAAUUAUUAUAAAUCCCUUAACGAAAUAUAUGAGUUCAAAUCACACAUAUAUAUAACUGAGGCCAGAAGUGGCAAAAUAUAAAAUAUCAAAGUACAAAAGGGACACUUCUUUCACUAUGUGAUUGGACUCAUCAGAGUGCGGGACAAGUCAUGCACUCA